GGCAGACCCAGGGAACUGAAACAUCUAAGUACCUGGAGGAAGAGAAAGAAAAAUCGAUUUCCUGAGUAGCGGCGAGCGAAACGGAAAGAGCCCAAACCAAGAAGCUUGCUUCUUGGGGUUGUAGGACACUCUAUACGGAGUUACAAAAGAAAGUUAUAAAUGAAGCGGUCUGGAAAGGCCCGCCAAAGACGGUAACAGCCCGGUAGUUGAAAUGGCUUUCCCUCCAGAGUGGAUCCUGAGUACGGCGGAACACGUGAAAUUCCGUCGGAAUCCGGGAGGACCAUCUCCCAAGGCUAAAUACUCCCUAGUGACCGAUAGUGAACCAGUACCGUGAGGGAAAGGUGAAAAGCACCCCGGAAGGGGAGUGAAACAGUUCCUGAAACCGUGUGCCUACAAGUAGUUAGAGCCCGUUAAUGGGUGAUAGCGUGCCUUUUGUAGAAUGAACCGGCGAGUUACGAUUUGUUGCAAGGUUAAGCGGAAAAAGCGGAGCCGUAGCGAAAGCGAGUCUGAAUAGGGCGCAUAAGUAACAGGUCGUAGACCCGAAACCAGGUGAUCUACCCAUGUCCAGGAUGAAGGUAAGGUAAUACUUACUGGAGGUCCGAACCCACGCACGUUGAAAAGUGCGGGGAUGAGGUGUGGGUAGCGGAGAAAUUCCAAUCGAACUUGGAGAUAGCUGGUUCUCUCCGAAAUAGCUUUAGGGCUAGCCUCGAGGUAAAGAGUCAUGGAGGUAGAGCACUGUUUGGACUAGGGGCCCUUCUCGGGUUACCGAAUUCAGAUAAACUCCGAAUGCCAUGUACUUAUACUCGGGAGUCAGACUGCGAGUGAUAAGAUCCGUAGUCGAAAGGGAAACAGCCCAGACCACCAGUUAAGGUCCCCAAAUAUAUGUUAAGUGGAAAAGGAUGUGGGGUUGCUUAGACAACCAGGAUGUUGGCUUAGAAGCAGCCACCAUUGAAAGAGUGCGUAAUAGCUC
RNAcentral lists this ribosomal RNA (970 nucleotides) under Listeria monocytogenes. RNAcentral's name for it is "partial 23S ribosomal RNA". It matches the Rfam family "Bacterial large subunit ribosomal RNA", at positions 178 to 1143 of the family's 2925-position model. Lineage: Bacteria; Bacillati; Bacillota; Bacilli; Caryophanales; Listeriaceae. The record is from RNAcentral.